Molecule: ribosomal RNA, 539 nt
Filed under: uncultured bacterium
Lineage: Bacteria
Description: bacterial SSU rRNA
Rfam family: Bacterial small subunit ribosomal RNA
Source: RNAcentral
GCGUGCUUAAUUCAUGCAAGUCGAACGAACCUUCGGGUUAGUGGCGGACGGGUGAGUAACGCGUGAGAAUCUGCCCUCAGGAGGGGGAUAACGGCUGGAAACGGCCGCUAAUACCCCAUAUGCCGCGAGGUGAAAUGAAUUUCGCCUGAGGAUGAGCUCGCGUCUGAUUAGCUAGUUGGUGGGGUAAAGGCCUACCAAGGCAUCGAUCAGUAGCUGGUCUGAGAGGAUGAUCAGCCACACUGGGACUGAGACACGGCCCAGACUCCUACGGGAGGCAGCAGUGGGGAAUUUUCCGCAAUGGGCGAAAGCCUGACGGAGCAACGCCGCGUGAGGGAUGAAGGCCUCUGGGCUGUAAACCUCUUUUAUCAAGGAAGAAGAUCUGACGGUACUUGAUGAAUAAGCCACGGCUAAUUCCGUGCCAGCAGCCGCGGUAAUACGGGAGUGGCAAGCGUUAUCCGGAAUUAUUGGGCGUUAAGCGUCCGCAGGCGGCCCUUCAAGUCUGCUGUUAAAACGUGGAGCUUAACUCCAUCAUGGCAGUG